Molecule: ribosomal RNA, 513 nt
Filed under: uncultured bacterium
Lineage: Bacteria
Description: bacterial SSU rRNA
Rfam family: Bacterial small subunit ribosomal RNA
Source: RNAcentral
AGUGAACGCUGGCGGCAGGCCUAAUACAUGCAAGUCGAACGGCAGCACAGCAGAGCUUGCUCUGUGGGUGGCGAGUGGCGGACGGGUGAGGAAUACGUGGGAAUCUGCCCAGUCGUGGGGGAUAACGUAGGGAAACUUACGCUAAUACCGCAUGCGCCCUUCGGGGGAAAGCCGGGGGACCCUUCGGGCCUGGCGCGAUUGGAUGAGCCCACGUCGGAUUAGCUAGUUGGCGGGGUAAAGGCCCACCAAGGCGACGAUCCGUAGCUGGUCUGAGAGGAUGAUCAGCCACACUGGAACUGAGACACGGUCCAGACUCCUACGGGAGGCAGCAGUAGGGAAUAUUGGACAAAUGGGGCGCAAGCCUGAUCCAGCCAUGCCGCGUGAGUGAAGAAGGCCCUCGGGUUGUAAAGCUCUUUUGUCCGGUAAAGAAAAGCGCCGGGUUAAUACCCUGGUGUCCUGACGGUACCGGAAGAAUAAGCACCGGCUAACUUCGUGUCCAGCAGCCGCGGUAAU